Molecule: transfer RNA, 87 nt
Filed under: Bacillota bacterium
Lineage: Bacteria; Bacillati; Bacillota
Description: tRNA-Leu
Rfam family: tRNA
About the family: Transfer RNA (tRNA) molecules are approximately 80 nucleotides in length.
Source: RNAcentral
GCCGAAGUGGUGGAACUGGCAGACGCGCUGGACUCAAAAUCCAGUGGUGUAACAACCGUGCGGGUUCGAUUCCCGCCUUCGGCACCA